RNAcentral lists this ribosomal RNA (216 nucleotides) under Glomeromycotina sp. RNAcentral's name for it is "partial small subunit ribosomal RNA". The stretch from base 40 to 216 matches the Rfam family "Eukaryotic small subunit ribosomal RNA", at positions 686 to 864 of the family's 1831-position model. The record is from RNAcentral. Lineage: Eukaryota; Fungi; Glomeromycota.
GGGUCAGUAGGUUGGACGUGCCACCGGUACGUACUGGUCUCACUGAUUCCUCCUUCCUGAAGAACCGUAAUGCCAUCAAUUUGGUGUUGCGGGGAAACAGGACUGUUACUUUGAAAAAAUUAGAGUGUUUAAAGCAGGCUAACGCUUGAAUACAUUAGCAUGGAAUAAUGAAAUAGGACGAUCGAUCCUAUUUUGUUGGUUUCUAGGAUUGACGUG